This 1113-nucleotide long non-coding RNA is filed under the name Marmota monax (woodchuck). The record is from RNAcentral. Lineage: Eukaryota; Metazoa; Chordata; Mammalia; Rodentia; Sciuridae.
UUUAAAUAUUUAUUUUUUAGUUUUAGGUGGACACAAUAUCUUUAUUUUACAUUUGUGUGGUGUUGAGGAUCAAACCCAAGGCCUCGUGCAUGCUAGGCAAGCACUCUACCACUGAGCCACAACCCCAGCCUGAAAAUAUAUUUUUUUAAAUAUUUAUUUUUUGGUGUAGUUGGACACAAUACCUUUAUUAAUUAUUUUUAUGUGGUGCUAAGGAUCGAAUCCCGGUCCUUGCACAUGUUAGGUGAGCACUCUACCUCUAAGCCACAACCCCAGCCCAGAAAAUAUUUUUUAAAAACUGACUGUAUUAAACAUGUACAGACUUUUUUCAAACAAUACAUUAUAAUAACCAUUUACAUAACAUUUACAUUGCAUGAGUUAUAAGUCAUCUAGAGAUGAUUUAGAGUAUAUAAGAGGAGCUGAUAUAGUAGUGCAUGUCUGUGCUUGGUGGGUCUCUUGAGAGCUUUAGGAUAGGGGCUGGUCACCGAGUGGAACCAAUCGUAUGAAUAGAGGGUAGGAAUUUUCAGGGAAAGGAGAGGGCCUGGAGAUUGCAAUGACAAAUGAUUUAAUCAGUCAUAGUACAUAAUGAAACCUCCAUGACAAUCCCUAAGCUGUGGGUCUGGGGAGCUUCCAGGUUGGUGAAUACAUGACAGUGCUGGAAGAAUGGUGUACCCAGAGAGGACAUGGAAGCUCUGUCCCUUGGGGACACCCAGGACAUGUCUGGCAUUUGUCAUGGAGGCGCACACACACACACACACACACAUACGUACAGACAUAUAUCUCAAGAGACCCACCAAGCACAUAGCACUUUCACUGUCUUAAAAAAAAUCUUUGCAUUUCAUUCCUCUCUUCUUCCUAACCUCGGGCAAUUGCUGAUAUUUUUACUGUCUAUUUUUGCUUUUUCUAGAAUGUCAAAGAGUUGAAUCAUGCCAAUAUGUAGCCUUUUCAUAUUGUUUUCUUUCACUUAGUAAUAUGCAUUUAAGUUUCCUCCUGUUCAUGGCUUCAUAGCUUAUUUCUUUCUAGCACUGAACAAUAUUCUGUCAUCUCCAUGCACCACAGUUUAUUUGUCCAUUUAUUUGCUGAAGGACAGCCUCCAAGCUCCUUACAUGUAGAAUC